UUUAGAAAUUAGUUCUCCUCAUGCCUCUAGUGAUAAACACCGCUGCUGCUGUUUUCUUACCUCCUGAACUUAGAGAUCCCACUCUAUUGCCCCAAGAGUCGAUAACCUGUCAGUCUGGGGACUGGCCACUGGAAUUGUUAAAGUCACUGAAUCAUGGCCCCUCCCAUCCCUGUAAAGUGGGUUAAGAGUUCAUGAUAAGGCAGCUAAUAUCCAUUUCAAUCCUUUUAAGCUUCUAGAACAACAGUAAUUCUCAAAGUGAUAGGGGCAGUGGAGAAUCAGAGUCCUCUGGGAAGCUACUCCAAAAUACCUCCGCCAGCCACCCCUCCAAUCCAAUGGCUCUCAGUAUUGUAUUUGAAAAAUAAGCUUCCUAGGUAAUUCUGAUGCGACCCAGUGGGUCGCAUCAGAAAACACAAGAUUUUUUCUACCCUAGAAAAGGGGCAAGCUAAUAAGUGCAUUUAAAAGCAGAUCAGCUGGGUGGAGUGGCUCACACCUGUAAUCCCAGCACUUUGGGAGGCCAAGGUGAGUGGAUCACUUGAAGUCAGGAGUUCGAGACCAGUCUGGCCAAGAUGGUGAAACCAUGUCUCUACUAAAAAUAUAAAAAUUAGCUGGGCGUGGUGGUGCACACCUGUAAUCCCAGCUACUCAGGAGGCUGAGGCACGAGAAUUGCUUGAACCCAAGAGGCAGUGGUUGCAGUGAGCAGAGAUCGUGCCACUGCACUCCAGCCUGGGUGACAGAGUAAGACACUGUCUCAAUAAUAAUAAAGCAGAUCAAACGGUUAAAUAUAACUCAGUUCCUGUCAAUCCCUUGUUUAAAACCCUCCCCAGCUCCCCAUUGCUCUUAGAUUGAAUGUCACACUCCCUCCUGUGACAUUUAAGGCUCUGCAGGACCUGGUCCCUGCUUACCUCCUUGGGUUCAUUUUAAAUCACUGCCUUUGGCUCUCCAAGCAUUGGCCCAGAUGGUCUCCUUGCAGUUUUUCAAACUACCCAUCCCCUUCCCAUCUCAGAGCCUCUCUGUUCUCUCACACCCUACUUCCCACCAAGUGAUUAUCACAGUACAUCAUUACUUAAGUGUGUGCUGAUUUACUGUCUGAUGUGGCUCACCCACUAAAAUAUAAACUCUACGAAGGCAGGAUCUUUUUCU
RNAcentral lists this long non-coding RNA (1140 nucleotides) under Homo sapiens (human). RNAcentral's name for it is "partial lncTCAM1P-5.3kb". The record is from RNAcentral. Lineage: Eukaryota; Metazoa; Chordata; Mammalia; Primates; Hominidae.